Molecule: ribosomal RNA, 458 nt
Filed under: uncultured bacterium
Lineage: Bacteria
Description: partial 16S ribosomal RNA
Rfam family: Bacterial small subunit ribosomal RNA
Source: RNAcentral
CCUACGGGAGGCAGCAGUGGGGAAUAUUGCACAAUGGGGGAAACCCUGAUGCAGCGACGCCGCGUGAGUGAAGAAGUAUUUCGGUAUGUAAAGCUCUAUCAGCAGGGAAGAAAUAGCGACCUUUGGGUCGCCAGACGGUACCUGAUUAAGAAGCCCCGGCUAACUACGUGCCAGCAGCCGCGGUAAUACGUAGGGGGCAAGCGUUAUCCGGAUUUAUGGGGUGUAAAGGGAGGGUAGACGGCAGCGCAAGUCUGAAGUGAAAUGCCGGGGCUUAACCCCGGAACUGCUUUGGAAACUGUGGAGCUAGAGUGCAGGAGAGGUAAGUGGAAUGCCUAGUGUAGCGGUGAAAUGCGUAGAUAUUAGGAGGAACACCAGUGGCGAAGGCGGCUUACUGGACUGUAACUGACGUUGAGGCUCGAAAGCGUGGGGAGCAAACAGGAUUAGAUACCCCUGUAGUC